GGGGAUGACUGGCUUUGACAGCAAGACGAAUAAGACUGUAAGCAUGUCGAGCAUGGUGAGAUGGCUCGUAAAUAUACAAUUCACAUAUUUUUACAUGGCGAGUCUAACUACGCUUUAGCUGCCUAAUCUAGGAUUAGAACAGCUUUUGCUCAGCGGAUAGAAGAAUGUUUAUCGCUUCAGUCCCACAGAGCAUCAGAGAAAGGAUGAACUAGCCAAUAGGAUGCCUAUUCCUAAAGGCGAAUUUAAUAGGCUAAGGUUUUGUUUUGGGAAUGUAUUCUUCCCGACUUAACUCGAAAAUUAAUUGACUACUAAGCAUGUAGAAAACUUUCUGAUUCCUUGUUUGGACCAGGGUUCGAUUCCCUGCAUCUCCAC
Molecule: transfer-messenger RNA, 372 nt
Filed under: Cryomorphaceae bacterium
Lineage: Bacteria; Pseudomonadati; Bacteroidota; Flavobacteriia; Flavobacteriales; Cryomorphaceae
Rfam family: transfer-messenger RNA
About the family: Bacterial tmRNA, also known as 10Sa RNA or SsrA, is named for its dual tRNA and mRNA-like properties. Its role is to liberate the mRNA from a stalled ribosome.
Source: RNAcentral